GUGUCCACAUAAUUUUUGCCAGGAUUGUCUGAAAAUAACCUGAAAAAUAUAUCGAUGAUUUUCAACCAAAGCAGCCCUUCUACUAUACAUUUUUGAUGUUGCCAUUGCUUUAGGAUAACAAACAUGUUGUUUAAACUGGUUUAAUUGUUUUUUAAAGCAUAUUUAUUAUUUUGUUGAUGAGCAGCUUUUCGCCAUGAUAUGUGGCC
This is a non-coding RNA of Paramuricea clavata, 206 nucleotides long. NCBI's taxonomy places the organism in Eukaryota, Metazoa, Cnidaria, Anthozoa, Malacalcyonacea, Plexauridae. The record is from the annotation of a GenBank genome assembly.